GUAGGGUGCGAGCGUUGUCCGGAAUUAUUGGGCGUAAAGGGCGCGUAGGCGGCCUGGUAAGUCUGGAGUGAAAGUCCUGCUUUUAAGGUGGGAAUUGCUUUGGAUACUGUCGGGCUUGAGUGCAGGAGAGGUAAGUGGAAUUCCCGGUGUAGCGGUGAAAUGCGUAGAGAUCGGGAGGAACACCAGUGGCGAAGGCGACUUACUGGACUGUAACUGACGCUGAGGCGCGAAAGUGUGGGGAGC
This 243-nucleotide ribosomal RNA is filed under the name uncultured bacterium. Its description in RNAcentral is "partial 16S ribosomal RNA". It matches the Rfam family "Bacterial small subunit ribosomal RNA", at positions 527 to 769 of the family's 1533-position model. The record is from RNAcentral.